GGCGCUGGUGGUGGCACGCCUGGCACUGCCGGGCCGGGGUUCGAGUCCCCGCGGCCCC
RNAcentral lists this small RNA (58 nucleotides) under Sorex araneus (European shrew). The record is from RNAcentral. Lineage: Eukaryota; Metazoa; Chordata; Mammalia; Eulipotyphla; Soricidae.